UAACAAAAUCUAAAUAAAAUACCAAAUGUGAAUUUUUUUUAUUUUGGAUCUUUGUUGGACUAAAGCCCAACACCAACACACCUAGAAAUUAGGAGACGAGUUCUUCUUCAUCCAGUAUGUAGUCACUGCUACAGAUGCCACCAUAUUUGAAACUCGUCAAGUGCCGCAGGUUCUGCCUUGAGCUCCGCUCCCUGAAAGCACCAACCAUGUAAUCCUUCCGAACGAGGGCUUUGUUUCCUUUUUUUUCUCCAUUCUUUCUCCUUAUCACCGAUCCAAAGCUCCAACCUUUUAUGUGAAUUAAACCAUUAGUCUUUCUUGUUUUCAAAAACCACUCUCUGAUUUCUUUUCCUUAGCCACAAAGGAAGAGAAGUGAGAGAACAUAGGAACACAAAUAGUAAUAGGGACGAAAACUGUCACGCCAUUCUCUUAUCUUUGUCUAGGCGAUAUGGUGAGAAUUAUGGGUAGCAACGCUGUGGAGGCUGUAAGGUUGUUCAUAGAUUGAAUUGGAUCUCCAUAUGUGUGUGGAGAGGCACAUUGUUCGACGAUUAACGGAGAAAAAAUCAUGGCGUCAUUCUCUUCUAAACGUUGAAACAAAGCAUAACGAGCUUCAUUGCUAACGAAGGAACAGAAAAUGAGAGCAAAAGUGAGAACGACGAAGACAAGAGAGACGAAGAAACAGAAAAGAGAAAGUGACGACGAAGGAUUCUCUUUUCAGCGAGAGUUUUGGUUUGAUUUGAUAAAGAUUGUGUUUAUUGAGUUUAUUUGAUCAAUGUAUCUGAAUUUGUAAUCUAUGGAUUAGGGUUUAUUUAUUUGUUUGAUAUUUGAUUGUUAAAUUUGAAAUGCAUAACUGAAGGUUGAGAGUUU
Long non-coding RNA from Arachis ipaensis, 864 nucleotides. RefSeq lists it as uncharacterized. Lineage: Eukaryota; Viridiplantae; Streptophyta; Magnoliopsida; Fabales; Fabaceae. The record is from RefSeq and is a predicted model, not a curated record.